UGGGGAAUAUUGCACAAUGGGCGCAAGCCUGAUGCAGCCAUGCCGCGUGUGUGAAGAAGGCCUUCGGGUUGUAAAGCACUUUCAGCGGGGAGGAAGGCGAUAAGGUUAAUAACCUUGUCGAUUGACGUUACCCGCAGAAGAAGCACCGGCUAACUCCGUGCCAGCAGCCGCGGUAAUACGGAGGGUGCAAGCGUUAAUCGGAAUUACUGGGCGUAAAGCGCACGCAGGCGGUCUGUCAAGUCGGAUGUGAAAUCCCCGGGCUCAACCUGGGAACUGCAUUCGAAACUGGCAGGCUAGAGUCUUGUAGAGGGGGGUAGAAUUCCAGGUGUAGCGGUGAAAUGCGUAGAGAUCAGGAGGAAUACCGGUGGCGAAGGCGGCCCCCUGGACAAAGACUGACGCUCAGGUGCGAAAGCGUGGGGAGCAAACAGG
RNAcentral lists this ribosomal RNA (429 nucleotides) under Chloroflexota bacterium. RNAcentral's name for it is "Chloroflexi bacterium partial 16S ribosomal RNA". It matches the Rfam family "Bacterial small subunit ribosomal RNA", at positions 355 to 776 of the family's 1533-position model. The record is from RNAcentral. Lineage: Bacteria; Bacillati; Chloroflexota.